GAUUAGCCUGCGUCCGAUUAGCUAGUUGGUAGGGUAAAGGCCUACCAAGGCGACGAUCGGUAGCUGGUCUGAGAGGAUGAUCAGCCACACUGGAACUGAGAGACGGUCCAGACUCCUACGGGAGGCAGCAGUGGGGAAUAUUGGACAAUGGGGGGAACCCUGAUCCAGCAAUGCCGCGUGUGUGAAGAAGGCCUGAGGGUUGUAAAGCACUUUCGGUGGGGAGGAGGUUACRUUGGUUAAGAGCUGAUGUAAUGGMCGAUACCUACAGAAGAAGCACCGGCUAACUCCGUGCCAGCAGCCGCGGUAAUACGGAGGGUGCGAGCGUUAAUCGGAAUUACUGGGCGUAAAGGGUGCGUAGGUUGUUGAUUAAGUUAUCUGUGAAAGAACUGGGCUCAACCURGUGAUGUCAGAUGAUACUGAUUGACUGGAGUAAGGGAGAGGGUAGUGGAAUUUCCGGUGUAGCGGUGAAAUGCGUAGAGAUCGGAAGGAACACCGGUGGCGAAGGCGACUACCUGGCCUAUUACUGACACUGAGGCACGAAAGCGUGGGGAGCAAACAGGAUUAGAUACCCUGGUAGUCCACGCUGUAAACGAUGUCAACUAGCUGUUGG
This 610-nucleotide ribosomal RNA is filed under the name uncultured Legionella sp. Its description in RNAcentral is "bacterial SSU rRNA". It matches the Rfam family "Bacterial small subunit ribosomal RNA", at positions 224 to 826 of the family's 1533-position model. Lineage: Bacteria; Pseudomonadati; Pseudomonadota; Gammaproteobacteria; Legionellales; Legionellaceae. The record is from RNAcentral.